AUUGAACGCUGGCGGAAUGCUUUACACAUGCAAGUCGAACGGUAGAGGGGGCAACCCCUUGAGAGUGGCGAACGGGUGAGUAAUAUAUCGGAACGUGCCCAGUCGUGGGGGAUAACGUAGCGAAAGUUACGCUAAUACCGCAUACGAUCUACGGAUGAAAGCGGGGGACUCGCAAGAGCCUCGCGCGAUUGGAGCGGCCGAUAUCAGAUUAGGUAGUUGGUGGGGUAAAGGCUCACCAAGCCAACGAUCUGUAGCUGGUCUGAGAGGACGACCAGCCACACUGGAACUGAGACACGGUCCAGACUCCUACGGGAGGCAGCAGUGGGGAAUUUUGGACAAUGGACGAAAGUCUGAUCCAGCCAUUCCGCGUGCAGGAUGAAGGCCCUCGGGUUGUAAACUGCUUUUGUACGGAACGAAAAGGUCUCUCUUAAUACGGGGGGCUCAUGACGGUACCGUAAGAAUAAGCACCGGCUAACUACGU
RNAcentral lists this ribosomal RNA (481 nucleotides) under uncultured beta proteobacterium. Its description in RNAcentral is "bacterial SSU rRNA". It matches the Rfam family "Bacterial small subunit ribosomal RNA", at positions 30 to 506 of the family's 1533-position model. The record is from RNAcentral. Lineage: Bacteria; Pseudomonadati; Pseudomonadota; Betaproteobacteria.